CAGUAGCCGCGGUAAUACGAAGGGGGCUAGCGUUACUCGGAAUUACUGGGCGUAAAGGGCGCGUAGGCGGCACGAUUAGUCAGGCGUGAAAUUCCUGGGCUCAACCUGGGGACUGCGCUUGAUACGGUCGAGCUAGAGGAUGGAAGAGGGUUGUGGAAUUCCCAGUGUAGAGGUGAAAUUCGUAGAUAUUGGGAAGAACACCGGUGGCGAAGGCGGCAACCUGGUCCAUUACUGACGCUGAGGCGCGACAGCGUGGGGAGCAAACAGGAUUAGAUACCCGCGUAGUCCCUGUCUCUUAUAC
Molecule: ribosomal RNA, 301 nt
Filed under: uncultured bacterium
Lineage: Bacteria
Description: partial 16S ribosomal RNA
Rfam family: Bacterial small subunit ribosomal RNA
Source: RNAcentral